GUGGGGAAUAUUGCACAAUGGGGGAAACCCUGAUGCAGCGACGCCGCGUGAGUGAAGAAGUAUUUCGGUAUGUAAAGCUCUAUCAGCAGGGAAGAAAAUGACGGUACCUGACUAAGAAGCCCCGGCUAACUACGUGCCAGCAGCCGCGGUAAUACGUAGGGGGCAAGCGUUAUCCGGAAUUACUGGGUGUAAAGGGAGCGUAGGUGGCAUGGCAAGUCAGAAGUGAAAGCCCUUGGCUUAACUGGGGGACUGCUUUUGAAACUGUCAGGCUAGAGUGCAGGAGGGGUAAGUGGAAUUCCUAGUGUAGCGGUGAAAUGCGUAGAUAUUAGGAGGAACACCGGUGGCGAAGGCGGCUUACUGGACUGUAACAGACACUGAGGCUCGAAAGCGUGGGGAGCAAACAGGAUUAGAUACCCGGGUAGUCC
RNAcentral lists this ribosomal RNA (425 nucleotides) under uncultured bacterium. RNAcentral's name for it is "partial 16S ribosomal RNA". It matches the Rfam family "Bacterial small subunit ribosomal RNA", at positions 354 to 796 of the family's 1533-position model. The record is from RNAcentral.